This 493-nucleotide ribosomal RNA is filed under the name uncultured bacterium. Its description in RNAcentral is "bacterial SSU rRNA". It matches the Rfam family "Bacterial small subunit ribosomal RNA", at positions 28 to 526 of the family's 1533-position model. The record is from RNAcentral.
GACGAACGCUGGCGGCGUGCUUAACACAUGCAAGUCGAGCGGUAAGGCUCCUUCGGGAGUACACGAGCGGCGAACGGGUGAGUAACACGUGAGUAAUCUGCCCUUCACUUCGGGAUAACCGCCGGAAACGGUGGCUAAUACCGGAUACGACACAGUCUCGCAUGAGAUCUGCGUGGAAAGUUUUCUCGGUGGAGGAUGUGCUCGCGGCCUAUCAGCUUGUUGGUGAGGUAACGGCUCACCAAGGCUUCGACGGGUAGCCGGCCUGAGAGGGUGACCGGCCACACUGGGACUGAGACACGGCCCAGACUCCUACGGGAGGCAGCAGUGGGGAAUAUUGGACAAUGGGCGAAAGCCUGAUCCAGCAACGCCGCGUGAGGGAUGACGGCCUUCGGGUUGUAAACCUCUUUCAGUACCGACGAAGCGCCAUCAACGGCGGUGACGGUAGGUACAGAAGAAGGACCGGCCAACUACGUGCCAGCAGCCGCCGUAAAAC